ACCAAAGGCACGGUGUCUCCCCUCGCCCUUCAGUGGGUCGUUUGAAAGGUUUAUUCACUUGAGAAAGGGAGACGGAAAGAGAGAGCACAAGCAGAGGGAGAAGGAGAAGAGACUCCCCACUCAGCUGGGAGUCCAAGCAUGGGGCUCAACAUGGGGCUCCACACGGAGCUUGACAUGGGGCUCCAUUUCUGGACCUGGAGAUCAUGACCUGAGCUGAAGGCAGACACUUCGCCCUCUGAGCCACCCAAGUACCCCUUGUUUAACAUUUUUCUAAGGGAAUCCUCAAG
Molecule: long non-coding RNA, 287 nt
Filed under: Mustela putorius furo (domestic ferret)
Lineage: Eukaryota; Metazoa; Chordata; Mammalia; Carnivora; Mustelidae
Description: lncRNA (ENSMPUG00000029685.1)
Source: RNAcentral